GAUGAACGCUGGCGGCGUGCUUAACACAUGCAAGUCGAACGGAAAGGCCCUGCUUUUGUGGCGUGCUCGAGUGGCGAACGGGUGAGUAACACGUGAGUAACCUGUCCUUGACUUUGGGAUAUCUUCACGAAACUGGGGCUAAUACCGGAUAGGAGCUCCUGCUCCAUGGUGGGGGUUGGAAAGUUUCGGCGGUUGGGGAUGGACUCGCGGCUUAUCAGCUUGUUGGUGGGGUAGUGGCUUACCAAGGCUUUGACGGUUAGCCGGCCUGAGAGGGUGACCGGCCACAUUGGGACUGAGAUACGGCCCAGACUCCUACGGGAGGCAGCAGUGGGGAAUAUUGCACAAUGGGCGGAAGCCUGAUGCAGCAACGCCGCGUGCGGGAUGACGGCCUUCGGGUUGUAAACCGCUUUCGCCUGUGACGAAGCGUGAGUGACGGUAAUGGGUAAAGAAGCACCGGCUAACUACGUG
This 468-nucleotide ribosomal RNA is filed under the name uncultured bacterium. Its description in RNAcentral is "partial 16S ribosomal RNA". It matches the Rfam family "Bacterial small subunit ribosomal RNA", at positions 28 to 507 of the family's 1533-position model. The record is from RNAcentral.